UUAGCCCGCCAGACACAACACCCGUCUGGUCGGAGGAUCCUCCCUUUUCGGUGGCGGAGGUGAUUCUUCACACCAUGUUCCUCCACACUUCUAAGCUGGUGACCCCGACGUGAUUCUUCACACCAUGUUCCUCCACACUUC
Long non-coding RNA from Melitaea cinxia (Glanville fritillary), 141 nucleotides. RefSeq lists it as uncharacterized. The record is from RefSeq and is a predicted model, not a curated record. The transcript is spliced from 2 exons. Lineage: Eukaryota; Metazoa; Arthropoda; Insecta; Lepidoptera; Nymphalidae.